CAAGCAACCACUCCAUCCUGCCUCCCCGACACCUCCAACGCGUCGCCGCCUCCUGCAACGCCCCACCCUGCCUCACCACGCGCCGCUCGCCGCCGCCGCCCACCCCGCUGGCGCGCCUACCCCUACCCCGAGUGCCCCCACACCCGCAGCCUUCCACUGCCGGCGACCCGUGGCCUGCCACCGCCGACGACGAGGAACUGCCGGAUCUCGACGAAUCAGGUGAGGAAUGGCGCGUAGGCAGCGAAUCUGGAAGGAAGGCGGCCGGGGCUUGGAGCAUGACGGCUACCGGCGCGCCAUGGCAUUGGGGGGAGGGGGUGUCCCAUGCUCCGACCGUUUGUGUCCGCGCGAGGAGCUCACCCCCAAAUAACUCCUCGGGCGUCCUGCGGGCCCAGGCUGGAGGCGGCAGGCCGCAGCGCGGGGAGCCCGCCGCGAGGGCAGACAGGAACGACGCGCCUGGCGCCGGCGGGGGAUGCGGGAGGGCAGCAGCUCACGGGCGAGGAGGCCCCCGCGACACGCGGGGGGGGGGGGGGGGGGGGGGGGGGGGGGGGGGGGGGGGGGGGCUCGAGGCCGGCGCGGGCGGCGGGAGGGGGACUCGACGUACCAGGGCUAUGACGUGCAGUGUCUGGCGAGGUGGGUGGACCACGCGCUGCCCUUCUCCCUGCUCCUCCUCGACGUCUUCAUCCGCCAGCACCUGCAAGGUUUCUUCGUAAUGAUUUGGAUUACCGCAGUCAUGUUCAAGUCAAAUGAUAUCUUGCGCAAGCAGACCGCUCUCAAGGCUACAAGGUUGGGGGAGCGACCCUGCCGUUGUCAUGAUGACUGCUCCUUCUGGCCGGAUCGAGGCACGAAGACCUGUGGGAUCCCCUCCUUCGGCAGGACCUCCUCAUCUGGAGGACUGCCUGUGAUGAGUUAAGGCACAAGAAGAUCUACAACCAUUUUAGCUCCAGCAGUUAGUACACAACCAAUCAACAGUGCAUUUUCACGACCCAGGCUUCUGAAUUCUGACUGACAGGCUCGCAGGCACAGUCACAUAUAAUCUCACGCAUUCAAAAUGCUAGCUACAUGAAAUACGCCCAGAUUUACGAGUAGAAAUCCAAGAUUCCUCCUCUAUGUUCAAUUUUCCUAAUAGGAAGAACCAUACCAACAACCCUUGAACUAGAUUGGUCGAAGCAGCAUACAUACAUAUUCAUGUUUUACAUUUUAAAUUUGAAGACCAAGGCAACUCCCGGUCGAUUUAAUUGGAGGCAUUGCAGUCCAAUUGUUCUAAGGAUUGGAACCAGACGUGUGACUCAAUACUGCUUGGAACAUGUGGAGGACCUUUGCAAUCUUAUCAAGCUUGACGCUAAACUGGCACUCUUACUUCAUCCCAUAUUACUCCUUCGAACAAUUUGUGCGCAAAGUUGAGGAAAUUGGGGCCAAUAAUCGUGUUAGAAUAAACUUCUUCCUUCCUUUUUCCGUACUGUGGGGCAGCAGGAUCUGAGUCCCACUACAUCGCCCUUUGAGAGCAUGGACCACCGUAUGGAAGGAGAAGUCAUCCUUGACUGUCGUUGUCUUUGGCAUGUUGCUACCAUUUUUUUUAAUCCUUACACUGCAGAGACCUCAGUAUAUCCAUGAUGAUAUGUUCCAAAGAGCCACAUGUGCCCAAAACAAUGGUGCCAAGCGCGUAGACAAUGAAGCAUUACCCUUUCUUGCUAAGGGAUUUGCUAGGAAAAAACAUCUCUGAAAAAAUAGGGCCAAAUUUGAAUUCUAAUAGAGUUGAAGAGACGCAUAGAGCAAGAGACAGGGAUAAUACUUCCUUAUGGGCUUCCUGAGAAUCUACAAUGAAGAAUAAGAAGGGUGCGGUAACUAAGUAUGCAUGUCAUAACUAAUUCUAUUGAAAAUAGUUAUUCAGGAAAAUUAACCUAUAUUGAAAUGUUGCAUGGUUCAUAUAUUGGGUCUAUGAAGAUUUGUUUAUGCAAUAAAAAUGCAUAAAUAAAAUCUCGUGUGGCUAUGUAAUUCACUUGUUAUAUGUCAAGUUCGAUCUCCUAAGAACAGGGUGAAACUGUUUGUUCCGAAGAAUAGAUGUCACUGUUCAGGCUCUCUUUUGUUGUACUUUCUUUUCGCUUUCCUUCUUAGCCCCUUUUUGAUAACUUAGUUCGAACCCCCCUCUUUAGGCCCCUCUGAUGGUUAGACUGUUAAUAUCCUUUUAGAUUUCCACUAGGCGGCCUUUGUAUAUACAGGUAUUCCAUUUUAUUGAUUAAUGCUACAAGCCAUGCUUUGGAUUGGCUCAUGACCUGUGUGUUGAUGUCCAUCUUUAUAUUUGAGAACUAAGGGCUCUGUCUUUUAACCAUGAACCAAUUUAAGUAGCAAGUCUGUUUUUGUUGGUUAGUUGUAUCAUUGUUAUUCAACAUUGAGCACUAAUUGACAACCAACCAUGAUCAUUCUUUGAGAAAGCUAUGGGACAUACC
Molecule: non-coding RNA, 2444 nt
Organism: Triticum urartu
Lineage: Eukaryota; Viridiplantae; Streptophyta; Magnoliopsida; Poales; Poaceae
Source: RefSeq, a predicted model, not a curated record